This 2517-nucleotide long non-coding RNA is filed under the name Physcomitrium patens. RNAcentral's name for it is "long non-coding RNA (PPAT_LNC007549)". Lineage: Eukaryota; Viridiplantae; Streptophyta; Bryopsida; Funariales; Funariaceae. The record is from RNAcentral.
UAAUUGUUGCAGGGAAGUUUUUUUAAACUAUCAAAUAGAAGAGUUUGAAUGCAUUUAUUUUAAUAUUAAUAGACUCAACUCAAGAACGUUUACAGUUAGUGUGAUGUUGGUCACAAUUUUCACAAAAAUAAUAUUAUGAUUGAUCAUACAUACUUCCCUUUUAUAUUCAUGCCUCAUAAAUAAAUUAUAGGGCUCAGCACUUUACAAAUGACUGAGAAGGACUUAGGCAAAGCAUUGUAAUUCCUUAUUCUACAUAAUUAUAAAUGCACAUCUUUAGUACCACCACAUCUAAUGUAGCAAGGGCCAUGUCACCCCACAACAUUCAUGUGGUUUCUAUAAGUUGAAAGUAUAGAUCUUAUGGGAGUAGGACUCAUACAAACUCUUCUCCGGUAUUCUCCAUCCAAGGUGGAGCCAUGUCAUAAAACCCAAUUCACAAUAAGAAUGAAAAGGAGAAGUUGAAUGUGGAGGAGGAGGAGGACGACGAAGAAGACAACAAACACAAUGAAAUUGUCGUCCUUUUGUGGCCGCAUCUGCCUCAUGACCUCCACAUAUGUUGCCCUCAUGGAUAGCUUCACAACUAUUCCAUUGUUUGUCUUGCUUUUCUUCCCUUCGCUUCUAUCCAUCGUUAUCAUUUUUAUGGUGAUGGUUCACACCUUUUCAUGCAUUCUAUGGGUCACACACAAUUGCUUGUUUCCUUCAUCAUCAUUGUUGAAUAGAAAACAAAACAAAGUUGAAGAAUAAAAGAAAAGAGAAAAAGGUUUUCUAUACAUGUGUACAUGUGUAUGUGUAUAUAUUGUUGCAAAUAAGGUCUUUAUCAACUUUGUAUGUGAUUUUUCCAAAUUGAAAUACAAAGGUCUUCUUGGUUAUAUUUAAAACAUAUAAAAAGAUGAGUAGCUAAAUGUUGAAUUGUGUUUAAGGUAGAGUGGUUUUUUUUUAUUGGUUUUUGAAAUUGAAGCUCUUCCAAUAUUACAUACAUGUAAGCUUUUUAUAGUUUUGAAGUUUUAGUUUCACAAUAUGCAAAUUGUUGGGUUUGUACAUGAGGUGGAAAAAUGAUAAGGAAAUACAAAAAUUCUCUUUCAAUAAUGUACUAUAUAGAUUUCAAAUGCUUACUAAAGUUGGAUUGAAAAGCACUACCAUGUUUAUGUCUUUCAGCUUUGGUAGUAAUACAAUAAUCCACAAUCUCUAAAAGAAUACUUCUACUAUUUACAAACAAACAUCAAUAUCUACUAUUAUUAUUAUUAUUCUUCUUCUGGUGUAUUCUAUGUAUGUGAGAGGUCUAUUCUAUUUGUCCAUGCAUUUUGUGUUUAUCACCUACACUUCCCAAAGGAAGCUCAUGUGGUCCCAUCCCUUCUCUUGAUAAAGAUGGGAGGAAUGGCACCGAUAUUUAUGAUUUGACACUUUUAUAGAUAUAUAUAUAUAUAUAUAUAUAUAUAUAUAUAAUUAAAAAUGCACAAAAGAGGUAGAAUUAUGAACUUUACCAAAAACACCAAACCCCAAUACCAAAUCCAAUGUUUGUCAAAGCAUGCAAGGAAUUGGCAUUUGAGAAGUUUUUCAUUUGAAAAUAUCUUUACAGUUUUAUAGUUUUAUUAUUAAUGUGGGUUUUUGAGGACAUCCACAUUUGAUCCUCCUUGUUUCCAACAAACAUUUGCUUCAGCUUAGGAAUCUGCACUUGACCAUUGAGUUGAUUUUUAAAUAAAUAAUAACAAUAAAAGAGAUAAUCUUGCAUGAUGCCAAAAAUGGAAAAAAGUAAUGUAUGAUUUCUAUUUUUAUUUUAAUCUUGAUUUUGUAUACAUUUAAGAAUUUUGAGCACAUGUCACAUGAAAAAAAAUACUAAAGAUACAUAGAGUUAGGGAGAUGAUGAUGUUGCUAUAUGGCUGGGUAACAAAUAUGUUUCAUGUUUUCAUUUAAUUACUUAAUCAUUUACACUUGCUUGCUGAUUCAUAAACAUAUAUCUCAAUUUUUUGGAUUUUUAUUUUUUGCAUUCAUUCAUGGUUUUAUUUCAAGUAAAUAGAUGAGUGAAUAAAGUUAUAAUGCAUCAAAGGAUUAUUUCAUUUUUCUUAUAUAUAUGUAAAUAUAUAUAUUUUGUAAAGGUCCUUGCUACAUAAAUACAAAUCUGGGCAUGAGGAAUCUAAUAGCUUUUUAGGGCAUGACAAUCAGUGUAUAGUUAUUAUGAUUAUUAUUAUCCGUAGAUGUACUUGAAUUUUCACAACUUCAAGGAUUUUCGAAAAUUUUCGUUUUCUUUAUUAAUUAAAAGGACAACAUCAAUUUUGAUGAAAUCAUGACCCCCCUGUUCUAUUUUCUAUUAGGACGUUUGUAAAAAUUAAUUUUACUUGUUUUCUAUCCCAGAAUAGGUGUGAUUUGUGUUCAAAUCAAUUCAAUAUUAAAAUCAUAAGUUUGGCAUAAACACAAUAGUGAUUCUUCUUGUUUCAUAUUAUUCAAAUUUUUAUUUUUUACAUGUUUUCUUAUAAAAAAAAAAAACAAGUAAAAAUAAAAAUAAAAAUAUGGUGUAACUAAUGC